AUUGAACGCUGGCGGCAGGCUUAACACAUGCAAGUCGAGCGGUAACAGAGAGGAGCUUGCUUCUCUGCUGACGAGCGGCGGACGGGUGAGUAAUGCCUAGGAAUCUGCCUAGUAGUGGGGGAUAACUUGCCGAAAGGUAAGCUAAUACCGCAUGCGUCCUACAGGAGAAAGGAGGGGACCUUCGGGCCUUUCGCUAUUAGAUGAGCCUAGGUCGGAUUAGUUAGUUGGUGAGGUAAUGGCUCACCAAGACCGCGAUCCGUAACUGGUCUGAGAGGAUGAUCAGUCACACUGGAACUGAGACACGGUCCAGACUCCUACGGGAGGCAGCAGUGGGGAAUAUUGGACAAUGGGGGGAACCCUGAUCCAGCCAUGCCGCGUGUGUGAAGAAGGUCUUAGGAUUGUAAAGCACUUUAAGUUGGGAGGAAGAGCAGUUAACUAAUAUUUGACUGUUUUGACGUUACCGACAGAAUAAGCACCGGCUAACUUCGUGCCAGCAGCCGCCGUAA
Molecule: ribosomal RNA, 506 nt
Filed under: uncultured bacterium
Lineage: Bacteria
Description: partial 16S ribosomal RNA
Rfam family: Bacterial small subunit ribosomal RNA
Source: RNAcentral